CAACUUUCAGCAAUGGAUCUCUUGGCUCUCGCAUCGAUGAAGAACGCAGCGAAAUGCGAUAAGUAAUGUGAAUUGCAGAAUUCAGUGAAUCAUCGAAUCUUUGAACGCAUCUUGCGCUCCUUGGUAUUCUGAGGAGCAUGCCUGUUUGAGUGUCAUUU
RNAcentral lists this ribosomal RNA (158 nucleotides) under uncultured fungus. RNAcentral's name for it is "5.8S ribosomal RNA". It matches the Rfam family "5.8S ribosomal RNA". From Rfam's summary of the family: 5.8S ribosomal RNA (5.8S rRNA) is a component of the large subunit of the eukaryotic ribosome. It is transcribed by RNA polymerase I as part of the 45S precursor that also contains 18S and 28S rRNA. Lineage: Eukaryota; Fungi. The record is from RNAcentral.